RNAcentral lists this small nuclear RNA (141 nucleotides) under Monodelphis domestica (gray short-tailed opossum). RNAcentral describes it as "U4 spliceosomal RNA (ENSMODG00000040106.1)". The stretch from base 1 to 68 matches the Rfam family "U4 spliceosomal RNA". Lineage: Eukaryota; Metazoa; Chordata; Mammalia; Didelphimorphia; Didelphidae. The record is from RNAcentral.
AUCUUUGUGCAGUGGAAGUAUCGUAGCCAAUGAAGUUUAACCGAGGCAUGAUUGUUGUUAAUUAAAAGGAAGGUAACCACCAGUUUUCAGAGGCUGUAACCAUGCAGUAGAAGUCCUGGCAGACUUUCCUUUGAUAGAAGG